AACGCUAGCGGGAUGCCUUACACAUGCAAGUCGAACGGCAGCACGGACUUCGGUCUGGUGGCGAGUGGCGAACGGGUGAGUAAUGUAUCGGAACGUGCCCAGUAGCGGGGGAUAACUACGCGAAAGCGUAGCUAAUACCGCAUACGCCCUACGGGGGAAAGCAGGGGAUCGCAAGACCUUGCACUAUUGGAGCGGCCGAUAUCGGAUUAGCUAGUUGGUGGGGUAACGGCUCACCAAGGCGACGAUCCGUAGCUGGUUUGAGAGGACGACCAGCCACACUGGGACUGAGACACGGCCCAGACUCCUACGGGAGGCAGCAGUGGGGAAUUUUGGACAAUGGGGGAAACCCUGAUCCAGCCAUCCCGCGUGUGCGAUGAAGGCCUUCGGGUUGUAAAGCACUUUUGGCAGGAAAGAAACGUCGCGGGUUAAUACCUCGCGAAACUGACGGUACCUGCAGAAUAAGCACCGGCUAACUACGUGCCAGCAGCCGCGGUAAUACGUAGGGUGCAAGCGUUAAUCGGAAUUACUGGGCGUAAAGCGUGCGCAGGCGGUUCGGAAAGAAAGAUGUGAAAUCCCAGAGCUUAACUUUGGAACUGCAUUUUUAACUACCGGGCUAGAGUGUGUCAGAGGGAGGUGGAAUUCCGCGUGUAGCAGUGAAAUGCGUAGAUAUGCGGAGGGA
RNAcentral lists this ribosomal RNA (679 nucleotides) under Achromobacter xylosoxidans. Its description in RNAcentral is "bacterial SSU rRNA". It matches the Rfam family "Bacterial small subunit ribosomal RNA", at positions 32 to 706 of the family's 1533-position model. The record is from RNAcentral. Lineage: Bacteria; Pseudomonadati; Pseudomonadota; Betaproteobacteria; Burkholderiales; Alcaligenaceae.